UCGUGGAGUGAUCUGUCUGCUUAAUUGCGUUUCAAUAUGGACUUUACAAUAUUGCUAUUGUGGAAGCUUUUAAGCUGGACACUCUUAGCAAUAAGAUUGCUGUCCGCUUUAAGUUUCUGCAGUAGUAUGAUAGAGUCCCGAAGGCAACGAACGUGACCGCAACCUCUUGUUGCCUCCCAUUCUCAACAGAAAGUUUGAGAUGCAUAUUCACGUAUGCAUUUUUAUUUCUGAGCGGAGGGAAACUAGAGGGACCGCUGCGAAAUCUUUAAACCAGAGGAAGGUUGCGGCAAUAACA
Molecule: ribosomal RNA, 295 nt
Filed under: uncultured eukaryote
Lineage: Eukaryota
Description: partial 18S ribosomal RNA
Source: RNAcentral